This 946-nucleotide ribosomal RNA is filed under the name uncultured organism. Its description in RNAcentral is "bacterial SSU rRNA". It matches the Rfam family "Bacterial small subunit ribosomal RNA", at positions 13 to 934 of the family's 1533-position model. The record is from RNAcentral.
UUGACCUGGCUCAGGACGAACGCUGGCGGCGUGGAUAAGGCAUGCAAGUCGAGCGCGAAAGCUCCCUUCGGGGAGUGAGUAGAGCGGCAAACGGGUGAGUAACACGUGAGUAAUCUGCCUUUAGGUGGGGGACAACUUCGGGAAACCGGAGCUAAUACCGCAUAAUGUUAUUUGUUCGCAUGGACGAAUAACCAAAGGGGGGCACUUCUAUCCUCCCGCCUGAAGAGGAGCUCGCGCCUGAUUAGCUAGUUGGUGAGGUAAAAGCUCACCAAGGCGAUGAUCAGUAGUCGGUCUGAGAGGAUGGCCGGCCACACUGGGAUUGAGAUACGGCCCAGACUCCUACGGGAGGCAGCAGUCUAGAAGCUUCGGCAAUGGGGGAAACCCUGACCGAGCGACGCCGCGUGCAGGACGAAGGUCUUCGGGUUGUAAACUGCUUUCGACUGGGAGGAAAGGUAGUGUAGUUAAUACCUGCAUUGCUUGACAGUACCAGGAGAAGAAGCCCCGGCUAACUCCGUGCCAGCAGCCGCGGUAAUACGGAGGGGGCAAGCGUUGUUCGGAUUUAUUGGGCGUAAAGCGCGCGUAGGUGGUUAAGUAAGUCGGAUGUUAAAGACCCACGGCUCACCCGGGGGAAUGCGUCCGAUACUGCUUGGCUAGAGUACAGGAGAGGGAAGUGGAAUUCCUGGUGUAGCGGUGAAAUGCGUAGAUAUCAGGAGGAACACCGGUGGCGAAGGCGGCUUCCUGGCCUGUAACUGACACUGAGGCGCGAGAGCGUGGGUAGCGAACGGGAUUAGAUACCCCGGUAGUCCACGCCGUAAACGUUGGAUACUAGGUGUCGGGGGUUUUCUACCCCCUCGGUGCCGCAGCAAACGCAUUAAGUAUCCCGNCUGGGGAGUACGACCGCAAGGUUGAAACUCAAAGGAGUUGACGGGGGCCCGCACAAGCGGUG